Molecule: long non-coding RNA, 1037 nt
Organism: Drosophila miranda
Lineage: Eukaryota; Metazoa; Arthropoda; Insecta; Diptera; Drosophilidae
Exons: 3
Source: RefSeq, a predicted model, not a curated record
AUCUGUCAGAAGCUGUUAAUAAAAUGGUCACAUUGUCUCAUAAUCAGCUGAUAAUGCGUAUCCGCAUUUUGUUACAAAAUUACAAUUUGCUUUGCUCUGUUUUUCCUCAGAGUAUGUGCAUAUGUGACUUAUAUAUUUGUAUUACUGAAUAUAAACGGACCUUAAGAAGUAUUGGAUGCUAAGAAACCCGACUCCAGCUGCAAAGAAUCUUCUAGCAAUUGUUAAUGUCUAAUAUUUAAGCAACUUUUCGUACUGCCAUUUAAUAAGAAUUAUACUUCACUCGUCGCUCAGACUAGACAUGUAUGACUAGCAUUCAAUUUUCUCCCUCCUAGAAGUGGGAAAGAAGAUAAGAGUGCACCUUUUAAAGGGAUCCGAACCAUAUACUGACUCUUGAUCCAAUUGCAAGACACGAAAUCCAUUAAAGAGAACGGAUGUAAUCAUUUUAUAAGGCAGAGAUUCUGGUUGGAUGCGCAACACCAACCCAUCUACGAGAUCGGACCAUAAAAAGGCAAACUCAAGAAAUCCGACUAUAGCAUGCCAAUAGUAUCCAACAAUCGCAUCUCAAUGGAAAAAACCAGAUAAAUCAAAAGCCACCUUUAAUGGACCCAUUAAAACUUCCAAAAAAAAUGGAUCCACCCACGCAACCGCCUAUCACCAAAAUCCGUGAAAGAUCUAUGCCGCCAACACCUCAACGCCGUACCAAAACCCGUCUAAUCCGCACAGCCCUAAAGGCCAGGUUUAUAGCCAAAUUUUAAGAGCUCUACGCCUGCCGGUACGGCACUACGAUCGAGCACUUUCACUGUGGGCCCAAAACGAGAAGGCUGAAUACAAAUUGUGCAACAUGCGCCCAACGGUUAAAGUGAAAAAAUACCUGGAUAUGCUCGUCAUAAUUUUUGAAGUGUCAUAAAAAUAUCUCCAUAAGCAGACGAAACUAUUAAAUUGGCUCAUUAAUCAAUUUAGUCACAGAGCAACGAUAAAAAGGAGCACACACGCGAGGGAUUGGAGCACAAUAAAGUAUAAUUUUUAAUGUUGCUAAA